AUUGAACGCUGGCGGCAUGCUUUACACAUGCAAGUCGAACGGCAGCACGGGCUUCGGCCUGGUGGCGAGUGGCGAACGGGUGAGUAAUAUAUCGGAACGUACCCAAGAGUGGGGGAUAACGUAGCGAAAGUUACGCUAAUACCGCAUACGAUCUAUGGAUGAAAGUGGGGGAUCGCAAGACCUCAUGCUCCUGGAGCGGCCGAUAUCUGAUUAGCUAGUUGGCGAGGUAAAGGCUCACCAAGGCGACGAUCAGUAGCUGGUCUGAGAGGACGACCAGCCACACUGGAACUGAGACACGGUCCAGACUCCUACGGGAGGCAGCAGUGGGGAAUUUUGGAUAAUGGGCGCAAGCCUGAUCCAGCAAUGCCGCGUGAAUGAAGAAGGCCUUCGGGUUGUAAAGCUCUUUUGUCAGGGAAGAAACGGUGGGAGCUAAUAUCUCCCACUAAUGACGGUACCUGAAGAAUAAGCACCGGCUAACUACGUGCCAGCAGCCGCGGUAAUACGUAGGGUGCAAGCGUUAAUCGGAAUUACUGGGCGUAAAGCGUGCGCAGGCGGUUUUGUAAGUCUGACGUGAAAGCCCCGGGCUCAACCUGGGAAUUGCGUUGGAGACUGCAAGGCUUGAAUCUGGCAGAGGGGGGUAGAAUUCCACGUGUAGCAGUGAAAUGCGUAGAGAUGUGGAGGAACACCGAUGGCGAAGGCAGCCCCCUGGGUCAAGAUUGACGCUCAUGCACGAAAGCGUGGGGAGCAAACAGG
Molecule: ribosomal RNA, 753 nt
Filed under: uncultured Oxalobacteraceae bacterium
Lineage: Bacteria; Pseudomonadati; Pseudomonadota; Betaproteobacteria; Burkholderiales; Oxalobacteraceae
Description: bacterial SSU rRNA
Rfam family: Bacterial small subunit ribosomal RNA
Source: RNAcentral